AUGAGCGGUCUGGGGGGUGUGAUUGCUGGUGCCGUGGGGAAACAAAUCGUCAGCAAGCUUGGUGAAUAUGCUGCGUCGGAGAUCACUCUGCAGUGGAGGUACAGGGAGGACGCGUUAGACUUGCAGGAGAAGAUGAAAGAUCUCGAGGCCUUGUUGCUUGAUGCCGACGACAAGUCGCGUCAAGUAGGAGAAGGUGCAAGAGUAUUUCAGCGGUGGCUUACAAAAUUUAAGCGCGUCGCCUAUGACGUCGAGGAUGUGCUUGAUGAGUUGGAUGCUAACGAGCUCAUCAAGAAGAGCCAAUCCAAGUUCAACUUAUGGUUUUCCAGAAACAAUCAACUCCUGCAGCGAAUAAUCAUGCCCCACAAGAUGAAGAACGUGAUGAAGAAAAUAGACGAAAUUGAAAAGGAGGGGAGAACGAAGCUCAACCUUGUGCGUCAAGAAGCCCGGGGAGAAGAGAGCAGAAACAAUGAAACUUUUGUAGCCAACUAUGGUGAUGGCACGAAAACUGGAAUGGUGGGGAGGGAUAUCGAGAAGGAGAAGAUAAUCAGCCUGCUACUGACAAGUGAAGCUAACCAGGAUAUCUCCAUCAUUCCAGUUGUUGGCCUUGGUGGCAUAGGUAAGACAACAUUGGUUGAAUCAGUUUUUGCAGACAAGAGGGUCAGUAUCUUUGACGUCUCAAUCUGGUUUAAUGUGUCCAAGCAGUUUGAUUUGAACAAAAUUGGGAGUGCAAUCCUGAAAAGAAUAAUGAAUAACACUGUCAACCUUGACAACUGCGAUUUGCAGUUUUAUCUGAAAAAAGAACUUGCUACUAGAAGAUACUUUAUUGUUCUGGAUGAUCUCUGGGAGGAAGAUGGAAAUAAACUUGAAAAGUUGAAGCAGAUGUUACAGCAUGGCUGCAAGGGUAGCCGUAUUAUAGUAACUACCCGAAACCUACGAGUAGUGCAACAAUUGCGCACUGGUUUCCUUGCAAAUGAGAGCAAAAUUGUCCCAGUUCACGAGUCUGACAUAAUAAAUUUGGGUGUUUUAGAACCUGGCGACUGUUGGGAAUUAAUGAAGCAAAGGGCAUUUGGGCCUGAUGAUCACCACAGUGUCUUGGAAGAAAUUGGAAAGCAGAUUGCGGGGAAGUGUGGGGGCUUACCUCUCGUGGCGAAUGCUCUUGGGCAUGUAAUGUCAGAGCAAAGGACCGUGGGGGCAUGGGAAGAUAUAAGAGACACCAAGGUCGAUCUGGGUUUGAAAGAAGUACAUCAGAAAGAAACAUUAGAGAGGCUAUUGCUGAGCUAUACCUACAUGAAACUAGAAUUCAAAAUGUGUUUCACGUACUUGGCAGCCUUCCCCAAGGGCUUUGUCAUGGAAAUCAAUCGCUUAAUCCAGCAAUGGAAUGCUCUUGGAUACAUUAAUUCAAGGCACGAUGGUCACAGGUGCAUCAAUUACCUUCUGGGGAUGUCCUUUCUUCAGACUCCGGUGUCUGCUUUGGUUAAUCCAAGUCUGUUGCAUUUCAAUGCUCCCUCAGAACUCGUCAUGCAUGAUUUGGUGCAUGAUCUUGCAUCAAUAAUUGUUACUGAUGAAUUCAUUGAUCUAGAUGCUACCAAAAGCACCACUUGGAACAUUGCUCGUUACUGCCGACAUGCACAGUUAACCAACUUCAAGAAUGAUCUCGAGGUUCUGAAAUAUAUUCCACACAAGCUUAGAUCCCUCCACUUUAGGGAUUUGGGGGGACUGCAACUCCCGAAAAAGGCUUUUUCUCGGUCCAAGUACAUACGUGUCUUGGACCUAAGUGGACAUUCAGCUGAAGGUCAAUCUGCUCCAAGUAGCGUGUUGCUACCAUCUUCCAUUAAUCAAUUGAAGCUAAUUAGGUAUCUUGAUGCAACACGCUUGACAAUAACAUCACUUCCCAAGUAUUUUCAUGCACUUCAAAACAUGGAAACUCUUAUUCUGUCCAAUUCCAAGCUUGAAAUCUUGCCUGACCAUGUUUGUCGCCUCAGCAAACUUUGCUAUUUGGAUCUAUCUGGUAGUAGUAGCCUCAGUAAGCUACCUGCAUCACUAGGGGAGCUCUCUCAACUCUUUUUCCUCAAUCUAUCCGGGUGUUGUACACUCCAAGAGUUGCCUGAAUCAAUCUGUGAGCUUGCAUACUUACACCACCUAGACAUGUCACAUUGUUGUGCUCUUCAAAGGAUGCCUGACAAAUUUGGUAGCCUUCCUAAACUCUCAUUCUUAAACUUGUCAGGUUGCUCAAGGCUCACCAAACUACCUGACAAUGUAAGCUUUCCGUGUUUAGAGCAUCUGAACCUAUCAAGUUGCCAUGAGCUAGAAUACCUGCCAAUUGAUUUCAGCCACCUUCAGAAACUUGAGUUCAUGAACCUGUCUGGUUGCUACAAGAUUUCAAUGCUGCCAGGAUCAUUUUGCCAACUUAAUCAUUUGAAAUACCUAGAUCGUUCAGAUUGCCAUAACCUCGAACAACUCCCUGAAUGUUUUGGUCACCUCAUCGAGCUUGAAUAUUUGAACCUAACAAGCUGUCCUAAACUCCGACAAUUGCCAGAGUCACUAUGCAAGUUGUUUAAGCUGAGGUGUCUCUAUUUGUCAUAUUGUCUGAGGCUCAAGGAGCUCCCCUCCUCAUUUGGCGACCUAAAGCUUCAAAUACUUCACAUGAAUGGCCUUAUACUUAUGGAUGACUGCCCUUAUAGCAUUGGUGACAUGACUAGUCUCACCGAGUUUGUGAUUGAUUAUGCAACUUUUGAUUUUCUUGAAAAGAUUGAAGCCAUUCGAAAGCGUCUAAAUUUUGUGGGCACAGUAGGGCAUUAUGUACAUGAGAUAGAGAGUAGAGGAUGCAGCAGUAUAGUGGAUCUUGUUGGACUGACUUGUUCAGAGCUGAUACUUAAAGACCUUCAGAAUGUCAGGCAUCCAGAAGAUGCAGACAAAGUCAAACUGCGUGAUAAAUCAAAUAUUCGAGUCCUAAAACUUCACUUCAGAAAUGAAGGAGGUAAAUCUGUGCUGGACAGGCUCGUACCUCCUCGGACUCUUGAUAACUUUUGGCUAUGUGGGUAUAUGAGCAAGGAAUUCCCUAACUGGAUGCUUCACAUCUCGUCCUACAUCCCUUUUCUCAGUGAACUAACUCUGAAUGGUUUGGAAGCAUGUGAUUUUCUUCCUCCAUUAGGGGCACUACCAAAUUUAAGAAGGUUGUUUCUUCUGAACAUUCCCAACAUUAGAAAAAUUGGUAAGGAAUUCUAUGGAGAGAGCGGAUCUUGUAUGAAACUAAGAGUACUGCUAUUGGCGUCGAUGAAGAAUUUGGUGGAAUGGUGGACAACAGAGUCAUGUAAAGAAAACGAAGAGUUUUUAAUACCUAAUUUGCAUCAUUUGAAUGUAACAGACUGCCCAAAGUUGAAGUUCCUACCAUAUCCCCCAAGAAGUAUGAAGUGGUUUUUGAGCAACAGCGAGCCAGUUUUGCCAGAGCGAGGAUUUGGAAAGCUCUCAUCUUCCAUUCAUCCUUCUGAGAUGGCUCUAAAGAGUUGUAGUUACUCUCAAGACAAGUGGGAUGGACUUCAACACUUUCCUACCCUUGAGAUAUUUCAGGUAAAAUCUAUCAUUGGCUUGAAGACUUUGCCAGAGGUCAUACAAUGCUUCACCUCUCUCACUGAACUAAAUUUAGUAUCAUUGAAUGAGCUGGAGACACUCCCGGAAUGGUUGGGCCACCUCGGCUCUCUAGAAGAAAUUGGAAUCAGUGGUUGCCCCAACCUGACAUCUUUGCCAGAAAGCAUGAAGAACCUCACAGCUCUUAGAAAACUAAAGUUGAUAGGGUGCAAAGGCCUGAAGAUAUUACCAGGAUCGUUGGGACAGUUGACUUCUCUAGAAGAAAUUGAAAUCGGCGAUUGCCCCAACCUGUCAUCUUUGCCUGAAAGCCUGAAGAACCUCAACGCUCUUAGAAAAUUGACGUUGACAGAGUGCAAAGGCCUGGAAACAUUACCGGGAUCCUUGGGACAGAUGACUUCUCUAGAAGAAAUUUCAAUUGGAGACUGCCGCAACCUGACAUAUUUACCUGAAAGCAUGAAGAACCUCACCGCCCUUAAAAAACUGAGGUUGGAAAUGUGCAAAGGCAUGGGGACAUUACCAGGAUGGUUGGGACAAUUGACUUCUCUAGAAGAAAUUUUAAUCAGCAUUUGCCCCAACCUGACAUGUUUGCCUGAAAGCAUACGGAGUCUCUCUGCUUUGAAGCUACUCAGAAUUGUUGAAUGUCCAGGUCUGAUUGCGAGCUGCCAAGGGGAGGAUGCCGGCAAGAUUUGUCACAUCCCAACCGUCGAAUACAGCUGA
This 4302-nucleotide ribosomal RNA is filed under the name Triticum aestivum (bread wheat). Its description in RNAcentral is "partial small subunit ribosomal RNA". Lineage: Eukaryota; Viridiplantae; Streptophyta; Magnoliopsida; Poales; Poaceae. The record is from RNAcentral.